CUGAGAACCGGGUCACAUGCCAUCGUCGUGCAGCCACCGGCAUCACUUUUAUCCUUCAUUUGGUCAGUGUCGUUUUCAUGUACUCUCUGUGCUGCUGCGGUAAAUGAGUGAUGUGACAUACCUUCCCCCACACGAGUGAUGCAAAAAAUUGCAAAAGAAAACUGACAUGAUGGCGACGGACGAUGAUGAUGACGAUGAGUAGAACCAGGGUCGGGCUGUGAUGGUGGCGCCCGGACUGGCAGUCGGACAGGUACAGCCAGAAGACGUCAAUCAAAUUAAUAAUGAGGAAAUUAAAGGCCUUACAUCAAACGCACAGCAGGCCAAUCAUAAAGUGACCGAGUUCAAAU
Molecule: long non-coding RNA, 347 nt
Organism: Aedes albopictus (Asian tiger mosquito)
Lineage: Eukaryota; Metazoa; Arthropoda; Insecta; Diptera; Culicidae
Exons: 2
Source: RefSeq, a predicted model, not a curated record